RNAcentral lists this ribosomal RNA (439 nucleotides) under uncultured bacterium. Its description in RNAcentral is "partial 16S ribosomal RNA". It matches the Rfam family "Bacterial small subunit ribosomal RNA", at positions 339 to 795 of the family's 1533-position model. The record is from RNAcentral.
CUACGGGUUGCUGCAGUGGGGAAUAUUGCACAAUGGGGGAAACCCUGAUGCAGCGACGCCGCGUGAACGAUGAAGUAUUUCGGUAUGUAAAGUUCUAUCAGCAGGGAAGAUAAUGACGGUACCUGACUAAGAAGCACCGGCUAAAUACGUGCCAGCAGCCGCGGUAAUACGUAUGGUGCAAGCGUUAUCCGGAUUUACUGGGUGUAAAGGGUGCGUAGGUGGUAUGGCAAGUCAGAAGUGAAAGCACGGGGCUCAACCCCGUAACUGCUUUUGAAACUGUCAGACUAGAGUGCAGGAGAGGAAAGCGGAAUUCCUAGUGUAGCGGUGAAAUGCGUAGAUAUUAGGAGGAACACCAGUGGCGAAGGCGGCUUUCUGGACUGUAACUGACACUGAGGCACGAAAGCGUGGGGAGCAAACAGGAUUAGAUACCCCUGUAGUC